GCCCCUGUUGUGUCCCCACUGCUGUUUCCAGGGUCUUGUGCCAUUUUGCAAGCUAAUGUCUGGGUGACCUGGCCACACUCCUCCGAUAUUCGCUGAGUCCCAAGGUGAGGUGAGGGCUCAGGGUCAGAGAAACCCCAGGCACAGAGCCCGUGGUCGCUGUCCCCAUCGUGAGCCUGCGCCGGGUCCUGGGUCUGGGCCUGCUGGGGCAGGGGUGAGGCAGGUGCUCACCGGGAUGGGACAGGGGUGGCGGGAACAGGCAGCCUUCUCUGGCCAGAUCUGUGGGAACUGGGUGGUCAGAAGCCCGAGGAGCAGAGGUCAGGCAGGCAGGGCCUCUGAGCUCUGACCUGAGUCUAGAAAAACCUUCAGGGAGAGGUCAGCUCAGAGCCUCAGGCCUUCAUCGCUGGGGACGCCUGUGGGAGGCAUCGUCUGCUUGUAUCUGGUGCAGUGUGUGACCCACACCAAAGCUUGGUGCCCAGAGAAUUGUCCCAAUUCCUCUGUAAGGUCUGUGGGAGUAGAGCCUUCCUCACAUCCAGAAAACAUGCAUUGCGUGCCCACUACCCACAUGGCCCGCGU
Leopardus geoffroyi (Geoffroy's cat) is the source of this 573-nucleotide long non-coding RNA. RefSeq lists it as uncharacterized. The record is from RefSeq and is a predicted model, not a curated record. The transcript is spliced from 2 exons. Lineage: Eukaryota; Metazoa; Chordata; Mammalia; Carnivora; Felidae.